AGUGAACGCUGGCGGCGUGCUUAACACAUGCAAGUCGAACGAGAACGGGCCUAGCUUGCUAGGCUGUCAGCUAAGUGGCGGACGGGUGAGUAAUGUAUAGCUAAUGUGCCCCUUAGAGAGGGAUAACAGUUGGAAACGACUGCUAAUACCUCAUACUCCUUCUACCUUAAUGGUAGUUGGGAAAUGUUUUUUCGCUAAGGGAUCGGGCUAUAUGGUAUCAGGUAGUUGGUGGGGUAAGAGCCUACCAAGCCAAUGACGCCUAGCUGGUCUGAGAGGAUGAUCAGCCACACUGGAACUGAGACACGGUCCAGACUCCUACGGGAGGCAGCAGUGGGGAAUAUUGCACAAUGGGGGAAACCCUGAUGCAGCAACGCCGCGUGGAGGAUGACGCAUUUCGGUGUGUAAACUCCUUUUAUAUAGGAAGAUAAUGACGGUACUAUAUGAAUAAGCACCGGCUAACUCCG
This 464-nucleotide ribosomal RNA is filed under the name uncultured Helicobacteraceae bacterium. RNAcentral describes it as "bacterial SSU rRNA". It matches the Rfam family "Bacterial small subunit ribosomal RNA", at positions 29 to 505 of the family's 1533-position model. The record is from RNAcentral. Lineage: Bacteria; Pseudomonadati; Campylobacterota; Epsilonproteobacteria; Campylobacterales; Helicobacteraceae.